This 305-nucleotide ribosomal RNA is filed under the name uncultured bacterium. RNAcentral describes it as "bacterial SSU rRNA". It matches the Rfam family "Bacterial small subunit ribosomal RNA", at positions 334 to 656 of the family's 1533-position model. The record is from RNAcentral.
GUUACCUACGGGGGGCAGCAGUGGGGGAUAUUGCACAAUGGGGGGAACCCUGAUGCAGCGACGCCGCGUGGGCGAUGGAGUGCUUCGGCAUGUAAAGCCCUAUCAGCAGGGAAGAAAAUGACGGUACCUGACUAAGAAGCCCCGGCUAAAUACGUGCCAGCAGCCGCGGUAAUACGUAUGGGGCAAGCGUUAUCCGGAUUUACUGGGUGUAAAGGGAGCGUAGACGGUGCGCCAAGUCUGGAGUGAAAUGCCGCAGCUUAACUGCGGAACUGCUUUGGAAACUGGCGAACUAGAGUGCGGGAGGG